GGCCUGAGAGGGUGAUCGGACACACUGGAACUGAGACACGGUCCAGACUCCUACGGGAGGCAGCAGUAGGGAAUAUUGCUCAAUGGGGGAAACCCUGAAGCAGCAACGCCGCGUGGAGGAUGAAGGUUUUAGGAUUGUAAACUCCUUUUGUAAGAGAAGAUUAUGACGGUAUCUUACGAAUAAGCACCGGCUAACUCCGUGCCAGCAGCCGCGGUAAUACGGAGGGUGCAAGCGUUACUCGGAAUCACUGGGCGUAAAGAGCGCGUAGGCGGGAAAGUAAGUCAGAUGUGAAAUCCUGUGGCUUAACUACAGAACUGCAUUUGAAACUGCUUUUCUAGAGUGUGGGA
This 347-nucleotide ribosomal RNA is filed under the name Helicobacter canis. RNAcentral describes it as "bacterial SSU rRNA". It matches the Rfam family "Bacterial small subunit ribosomal RNA", at positions 289 to 653 of the family's 1533-position model. The record is from RNAcentral. Lineage: Bacteria; Pseudomonadati; Campylobacterota; Epsilonproteobacteria; Campylobacterales; Helicobacteraceae.